RNAcentral lists this unclassified non-coding RNA (795 nucleotides) under Hevea brasiliensis (rubber tree). The record is from RNAcentral. Lineage: Eukaryota; Viridiplantae; Streptophyta; Magnoliopsida; Malpighiales; Euphorbiaceae.
GUUUUGGUAAUUCACUGAUUUUUUUUUUUUCUCAGCCUUCAAUUCAAGGGAACUUUAUUUGAAAUCAAGGAUGAGAGCGUACCUAACCACAACCAUCCAUACAAGCAGGAAUUAAAAAGAUUUAAAAAAAAAAAUCAGUGAAUUACCAAAACAGGAGUUUCUAAUUCAUUCCAGAUACAGAUCAUACAUUUCAAAGCCCACACCUCAGAAACAAAAAAGCAUCCUACAAAAUCAGCUCAGAGGUGAUUGCCCGUCGAAACAAUGCUUCAUAGUUGUGGGAAUAUGGAGUCCACAAAAGCAUGGUGCAUUGGGUCCAACAGCCAGCUUUUAGCUACAUGCUGGUGAGAUGAGGUACGCCUGUGAAUUUCUUCAACCAGCCAAAUGGUGGCUUCAGCCUUACAAGGAUGAAUUGUGAUAUCCAAGGGCUUUUGUUCAUCCUCACUGCCAAUUCUCAGAUGAUCCCACUGCUUUAGAAGAAUGUUAGUGAGGUAAUGCAAGGGUUGCCCAUAUAAUUGCUUAAUUGAUUUGCCUAAUCCCACCCAUGAUGAAAAUGGAAUGACAGAGCCAUGACGUGCUGGCAUAGGGAGCUGCCUCAUAUAUUCUUGAUACAUUUCCGCUCUUUUGAUCAGUACAUCCUCAGAUGUCAUUUCUUUUGUAGGUUGAUCAAGUGUAAUAUUAAGGGACAGUUGCUGACCCUCAACUCCAUCAUUGAUCUCCANNNNNNNNNNAUUCAUCUGAUGAUAUAACAUCAAUCUGCUCACUCCAUGGCAGUGUCCUCUUCAUAGUACGUUCAAU